GCCCCCAGCCCGGCGCCGGCCCGGCUGCGAGCAGAGGGGUCUCCCCCAAAUCCACCCCCCCCUCCGCUGCCCUCUGAGGUGGGGGGGGGUCGUUCCGGGAGGGGAGGGGGGCGCUGGGUGCUCCCCCCCCCACCCCCCGACCCCUCCCCCGGCCCGCGGCGCUGCCGUGGCGUCGGUUCCGUUCCGGGGGGGGUUCCAAAGGCGUCUUACCAGGAUACAAACCCUUAUACCAACCAUACACUGAGGUGUGGAGGGGGGAGCAUUAGGAUCAGCUGCAAGCCAGCAGUGGCAAAAGCCAUCACAAAGGUGGCUGCAGUGACAACAAAACACGAGUUAAUACAACCCCGGCCGGCCACCGGCCUCCGUCCCACCCCACCGCACGCGGAGACGGCGCCCCCGGAGCCGGGACGGCCUCCCCCCGGAGCCAACGGGGACGCCCCCGGAUCGCCCGUCCCGAGGGGUGCGGGGACAGAGGGACAGACAGACAGAGAGAGAGAGAGAGAGAGAGAGAGAGAGAGAGAGAGAGCGGCGCCGGCACGACGCGGCCAGCCGGGCGUUGGUCGGCGUCAGGGGGGGCUGGUCAACCUCAAUGGAGGGUGGUCAGCGUCAAUGGAAAGUUGGUCAACCUCAAUGGAAGGUUAUUCAAUGUCAAUGGAAGGUUGGUCAUCAUCAAUGGAGGUUGGUCAACCUCAAUGGAGGGUGGUCAGCGUCAAUGGAAAGUUGGUCAACCUCAAUGGAGGUUGGUCAGCGUCAAUGGAAAGUUGGUCAACCGCAAUGGAAAGUUGGUCAACCUCAAUGGAAGGUUAUUCGAUGUCAAUGGAGGUUGGUCAUCAUCAAUGGAGGUUGGUCAUCAUCAAUGGAGGUUGGCCAACCUCAUUGGAAGGUCAGUCAAUGUCAAUGAAAGGUUGGUCAACAUCAAUGGAAGGUCAGUCAAUGUCAAUGAAAGGUUGGUCAGCCUCAAUGAAUGGUUGGUCAACAUCAAUGGAAGCUUGCACAGCAUCAAUGGAAGGUUGGUCAGCAUCAAUUGAGGUUGGCCAACCUCAUUGGAAGGUCAGUCAAUGUCAAUGGAUGGUUGGUCAACAUCAAUGGACGUUGGCCAACUUCAAUGGAGGUUGGUCAGCACCAAUGGAAGCUUGGCCAACCUCAACGGAAGGUCAGCCAACCUCUAUGGACGCUUAGCCAACCUCAAUGGAAGGUUGGCCAACAUCAAUGAAAGAUUGGCCAACCUUCAUGGAAGGUCGGCCGACCUCAAUGGAAGCUUGGUGAACCUCAAUGUAGGUCGAUCUCAAUGGGAGGUUGGUCAGCAUCUCAAGGCUGGCCAAUCUCAACAGAAGAUUUUGUAACCUCAAUGGAAGAUGCCCAACCUCAAUGGACGCUUGGCCAACCUCCAUGGAAGGCUGACCAAUGAGAGCUCUACCCACAGGCUUGGCCAGCUGGAUGCUUGACCAAUGGGGUGGUUGGCCAAUGGAAGGUUGACCAGUGGGAGCUCUACCAGUUGGACGCUUGGCCAACGGGGCGGUUGGCCAAUGGUAGCCUUGACAAACAAAACAUUGGCCAACAGGCGAUUGGCCAACUGGAGACUUGGCCGAGGGUAGAUCCACCCCCAGCCUUGGCCAAUGGACAAUUCGGCCAGCUGGACACUUGGCCAACAGUAGGUCUAUCCAUAAAUUUGGCCAAUGGUAGCCUUGGCCAACGACCCCCUUGGCCAAUCGUAGACUCGUUUCCCCAUAAUUUGACUAACCAACACUUGGCCAACAGUAGCCUUGGUUGCCCAUGGUUUGGCUACCUGGAGCCUCGGCCAACCACCGCCUCGGCUGGCUGCAGUUCAGCCACCGUGGCCAAUGGUAGCCUUGACCAAUUGUAGGUUGGACCACAGCACCACUGGCCAACCGUCGCUUGGCUAACGGUAGCCCUGGCUGCCUCCAAGUAGCCCAACAGCAGCUUUGGUCAACCAUACCCUUGGUCAACCAGCCAUAACCUUGGCCGCCUGUAGUUGGGCUGCCUGGAGCCUCGGCCACCAACUGCAGCUCUGCCUCUACUUUGGCCACCGCGUGUGGUCUUGGCCGCCGACUGUAGCUCUGCUCGUACCUUGACUAGCCAUAACCUCGGCCACCACCUGUCCCUCAGCUUGC
RNAcentral lists this long non-coding RNA (2132 nucleotides) under Chloebia gouldiae (Gouldian finch). Its description in RNAcentral is "Erythrura gouldiae (Gouldian finch) lncRNA (ENSEGOG00005018901.1)". The record is from RNAcentral. Lineage: Eukaryota; Metazoa; Chordata; Aves; Passeriformes; Passeridae.